AUAUGGUCAAUCAAGGCCUUGUUAAGGAACCGGAAUAUUGAUGCAGAAGGUGGAGAAAUUGUUUUUGGUGGGGUUGAUUCUAAUCAUUACAAGGGUGAGCACACAUGUUCCCUUGACCCAGAAAGGCUACUGGCAGUUUGAAAUUAGUGAUGUCCUAAUUGAUGGGGAAACAACUGGAUAUUUUUCUGAUGGUUGUUAGGCCAUUGUUGAUUCUGGAACCUCUGUAUAGGCUGGUCCAACGUAUGGGUAUUGAGAGUGUGGUAAAUAAGAGCACAGAAAGAUAAUCUGAUUAUGUGCAUGACACUGUGUGCACUGCUUGUGAGAUGGCAGUAGUAUGGCUGCAGAACCAGCUCAAGAGAAGUAAGAUGGAAGAACAAAUCUUGGAUUACGUAAAUCAGCUUUGUGGUCAACUGCCGAGUCCCAAUGGAGAAUCGGCUGUUGAGUAUAGCAGUCUAUCUUCCAUGCCCAAUGUGUCAUCAUUCACCAUCGGUGGUAAAGUAUUUUACCUUUCACUAGAUCAGAUAUACUGUUGUGCUGAUAUUUAAGGCACUGGAGUUAUAGAUUAUUGAAUAGUCAUGAUUGCAAUGCUACUUAUAAGUAUAUCAUCUGUCACUUGGUUAUCUGUUGUUAAGCUUAUAUGUCCAAUUUUAAUUGCAGAUAAAGAUCUUGGAAUUUAUUGGUUUGUUGCUUCUUCUGUGUUCUUGCUUUACAUGAUGCAAUUUUCAAGUAUAUUGAUAGACCCCUAAUUAUCAAGACUUAUCAGAGAAGGGGUAAGAUGGGAAUUACUCCUCCAGUGGCUCAGAUUACAACAAUUGAAGAUAAAGAUGACCAAGAUAAUUCUUACAUAGAAGCAUAUCAAGAUAACACAAAGAAGCUGGAUAAGACUCAUCAUCAACAAGGCAACCGGGCUUUAGUAGGGAUGCAAUCCUGUGAAGAAGGAUCAUCAAGGAAAAGCGUAAACAAUUACUUGGGGUUUGGGGGCUUAGGCCUAGGGACACUGAUUGCACUGUUUUGGCAGCACCAUUGUAUUGGUUAUUUGGUUUUCUGGUUCUAUCAAUAAGCAAGUGUAGUUUGCACAUUAUCGUUCAAUAAACCAGUCUUCAUUCAUUCAUAACUGUUCUGUCCAUUACAACCAUUACUUAAUCGCCAUUACACAGCUUUUACAAACACAAAACAUAUAAAUAUUCCCAUCUCCAGGUAUCCAGCAACUGAGAGCAGCCCCAGAAUCAGCACAGCCCCUGCACAAAGCAUUGCCACCAGUUCAGGAUAUUGGGAGGCAUUUUCUUGGGUCACCAUCACGCUGUAUUUAACCAUGGGAACUUACCGUCGGAUUUGCUGAUGCGGCUUAAUGAAAUCCAUUAGUCUCUU
This is an RNA transcript of Mangifera indica (mango), 1368 nucleotides long. It is a transcript of the gene named phytepsin-like, with no coding region annotated. Lineage: Eukaryota; Viridiplantae; Streptophyta; Magnoliopsida; Sapindales; Anacardiaceae. The record is from RefSeq and is a predicted model, not a curated record. The transcript is spliced from 6 exons.